AAAAAAAUGGAGAUCUACCAUACCAAACAGUGCUGGCACUUCAUCAAAAGGAACAAGAGAUCAUCAGUAUUCACACCCGAGUGAGGGAGCAGUUAUGGAGUCUUUAUCACCAACUACCCACGGCUGUCAGGCUGCUAUCUCGACUCAGCGAUUGGCACAUGAGGAAGAAAAAAAUAUUAACUGUAAUGAGUUUUCUUCCAGAUUUCCACUACCUUUUUAUAUGAAGAAGUGCUGCCUGGAUGCUGUCUUGAAUGCACUUUCCCUUAGUCUCCACUAGAUGUCCGAUUCCCUACCUCGCUAGAAGAAUUCUGCUGGACUGCCUUUUGGAUGCCUCUGAGAAGUCUGUAUAUCUAGGGGAAGUCUGCAAGACCCCCUCUCUUUGGAUGCCUUAAAGGAUUUUGAAAACCUACAUGAAGCUCCCAGACAUUGGCCACAGGUCCUCAGUGUUAAGUUCUCCUUAGGCUGUUAGAGUGAUAAAAACAUAAGAAAUGUGCCAAAUUACGUGAGACCAUUUAGUCCACAAGAUGCUUGUAUAGAAGUAGUCUACUUACUUUAUGAAAGCUGUUAGAAUGAAGGCAACACGAUCUGGUGACAUUAUUUGUUAGAUGACCUCUGACUUUCAUGUUCUGAUUCAAUCUCCUGUUGUAAGUCUCAUUGGAUAAAAGUGUCUGCCAACCAAGUAAAUGUAGAUGUAAAUCUUAAAUGCACUUCCCUUUAGUCUCCACUAGGUGUCCUCCAGCACAAUUCACUACAGUAAUCCCU
Molecule: long non-coding RNA, 762 nt
Organism: Polypterus senegalus (gray bichir)
Lineage: Eukaryota; Metazoa; Chordata; Cladistia; Polypteriformes; Polypteridae
Exons: 3
Source: RefSeq, a predicted model, not a curated record